CUGGAAGAUGUCAUGUGGCUGGGGAUGGUGAGCAGAUGGGAGAGGGAGACAGAGGACAGAUGGUCUUGCAGGAUGAUGUGGGACCUCAGCCUGGGUGCCGUGUAAGCCACGCACAGAAGUUGAGCAAGCAGGCUCAGAGAUGUAAGCUCGUGACCCUCUCGUCAGACAUCAAAGUCAGAUCAUAGGGGACCAGUACACUCUGCAGGCAAACAUUACGUUUUUAACAGAGCAGCUGACUGCAUGGAGUUCAACCUUCAGAUGCAAUGCUUGUGAAAAAUUGCAAAAAACACACUCUGUCUCCGGCCGCUAGCAUAUUGGUGAAAUCGGAUAUCGCGGGCUAAACGGAAAGGAAGACAAAACAGGCUUGGCGCUCAACGUGUUAAAAAAGGUAGGGGACCCUGGAAUAAGC
Long non-coding RNA from Myotis myotis, 409 nucleotides. RefSeq lists it as uncharacterized. The transcript has 3 exons. The record is from RefSeq and is a predicted model, not a curated record. Lineage: Eukaryota; Metazoa; Chordata; Mammalia; Chiroptera; Vespertilionidae.